GAUGAACGCUGGCGGCGUGCCUAAUACAUGCAAGUCGAGCGAACAGACGAGGAGCUUGCUCCUCUGACGUUAGCGGCGGACGGGUGAGUAACACGUGGAUAACCUACCUAUAAGACUGGGAUAACUUCGGGAAACCGGAGCUAAUACCGGAUAAUAUAUUGAACCGCAUGGUUCAAUAGUGAAAGACGGUUUUGCUGUCACUUAUAGCUGGAUCCGCGCCGCAUUAGCUAGUUGGUAAGGUAACGGCUUACCAAGGCAACGAUGCGUAGCCGACCUGAGAGGGGGAUCGGCCACACUGGAACGUAGACACGGUCCAGACGCCUACGGGAGGCAGCAGUAGGGAAUCUUCCGCAAUGGGCGAAAGCCUGACGGAGCAACGCCGCGUGAAUUAUGAAGGUCUUCGGAUCGUAAAACUGUGUUAUUAGGGAAGAACAAAUGUGUAAGUAACUAUGCACGUCUUGACGGUACCUAAUCAGAAAGCCACGGCUAACUACGUG
This 497-nucleotide ribosomal RNA is filed under the name uncultured bacterium. Its description in RNAcentral is "partial 16S ribosomal RNA". It matches the Rfam family "Bacterial small subunit ribosomal RNA", at positions 28 to 507 of the family's 1533-position model. The record is from RNAcentral.